GAUGAACGCUGGCGGCGUGCCUAACACAUGCAAGUCGAACGGAGUCCAGCCUUUAAGACCUUCGGGUCAAAGAGGGGAAGACUGAGUGGCGGACGGGUGAGUAACACGUGGGCAACCUGGCUCAUAGAGGGGGAUAACAGAGAGAAAUUUCUGCUAAUACCGCAUAAGCACACACUGCCGCAUGGCAGAGGGUGAAAAGAGAAUCGCUAUGAGAUGGACCCGCGUCUGAUUAGCCAGUUGGCAGGGUAAGAGCCUACCAAAGCGACGAUCAGUAGCCGAUCUGAGAGGAUGAACGGCCACAUUUGGACUGAGACACGGCCCAAACUCCUACGGGAGGCAGCAGUGGGGGAUAUUGCACAAUGGGGGGAACCCUGAUGCAGCGACGCCGCGUGAGUGAAGAAGUAUUUCGGUAUGUAAAGCUCUAUCAGCAGGGAAGAUAAUGACAGUACCUGAAGAAGAAGCCCCGGCUAACUACGUG
This 478-nucleotide ribosomal RNA is filed under the name uncultured bacterium. RNAcentral's name for it is "partial 16S ribosomal RNA". It matches the Rfam family "Bacterial small subunit ribosomal RNA", at positions 28 to 507 of the family's 1533-position model. The record is from RNAcentral.